This 654-nucleotide ribosomal RNA is filed under the name Triticum aestivum (bread wheat). RNAcentral describes it as "partial small subunit ribosomal RNA". The record is from RNAcentral. Lineage: Eukaryota; Viridiplantae; Streptophyta; Magnoliopsida; Poales; Poaceae.
AUGCCUAAAACUCUCUUUAACAAAAGCAUUACCUUUACUGCCGAGCCGGAUGCCCUGAUUUGGCAGCUGGACAAUAAGGGGAAGUAUUCCUCGAGCUCCCUCUAUCAUGUUAUCAACUUUAGAGGGGUUCAACCCGUGUUUAUCCCUGCUGUUUGGAAAUUGAGAGUUCCCCCUAAAAUUCAUGUAUUUCUCUGGCUUCUCUCCAAAAACAAAUUGAUAACUAGGGAUAACCUUAGGAAGAGACACAUCAUCAAACCCCUUGAUUGUGUUUACUGCUUGGAACAAGAGUCUUGUUCUCACCUAUUUUUUGAAUGUAUAGUUGCUAAACAUCUCUGGGCCCACAUUGAGGAAUAUUUCUCUAGUCAGAUUGGCUCAUCCUUCGAAUCUGUCACCAGAUUCUGGAUUGCUACCAAAAAGUGCUCAAUUUUAAACACUGUUAGCUCAGCUGUCCUUUGGUGCCUCUGGAAAUAUAGAAAUGCUAUGAUUUUCAGUAACACCUCCUGGAUUUCCAUUCUGCAGGUCUUGAGGUUGAUCAGGAACAUGGUGAGGAACUGGGCGAUUCUCUCCUCCGGAUCGGACAAGGACAAGUUGAUGAGCUUCGUGGAAACCCUAACAAGAUCCCUCCAAAAACCGUUGGCGAUCACUUGUGGCUGA